This 310-nucleotide unclassified non-coding RNA is filed under the name uncultured fungus. RNAcentral's name for it is "partial contains 5.8S ribosomal RNA and internal transcribed spacer 2". The stretch from base 1 to 133 matches the Rfam family "5.8S ribosomal RNA", at positions 22 to 154 of the family's 154-position model. Lineage: Eukaryota; Fungi. The record is from RNAcentral.
UGGUUCCGGCAUCGAUGAAGAACGCAGCGAAAUGCGAUAAGUAGUGUGAAUUGCAGAAUUCAGUGAAUCAUCGAAUCUUUGAACGCACAUUGCGCCCUUUGGUAGCCCAAAGGGCACAUCUGUUCGAGUGUCAUUUAACUCUUCAAGCCUGGCUUGGUGUUGGGUGCUUGCCUGUGGGCUCACCUUAAAAGAAUAAGUGCUUGAGUAGUUGCAAGUAGCGGAGUAGAAUCUGCUGUUUUUGUGGCUACCGAGAGCACUGUAAACGCAUAUACCAUUUUUUGACCUCGGAUCAGAUGGGGAUACCCGCUGA